CCGCUGGCACGUUCAUUAGAAGGUUUUCAUUGAUGUUUCAAAACGAAUGAGAAGGGGGCGGCAAGUAGGUAAAUCCGGCCCUGCCUACAAUGGUAACUCAUUCUAACCACUUAACGGGAAAGGCGUACGUUUAAAUGCCUACACCAGGUUCAAUAAAACCGUCCCUUUAAAUGAUGCUUAAAUAUCCUCCAUCAAAGACAGCUACGAGAUGUUUCUCAGUUAUCAAUGUAUCUUUGUAGUGCGCUUUUAUCAACGUGCAUGCUAUAUUUUUGCAAGAAUGUCCAUCUAAUGAUUCUUGAUUUAUCAUCUUACCUCAUAUAUACUUUAUUUUGCUUCCAGGUGAGAAAUCAUUGCUUUGUCCUCUCGGAAGGAAAGACUCAUUUCUGGCAUUUACGUAUAAGUUUCUCUCCUCAUGAUUCAGGUAGCAGCAGUUUAUUUUGGAACACGAUGGAUAUCAGAUAUUGGCGGUGCAUAAUCAAGAAAGGAAGUCAUUGUCCAGAUGAUGAUAUCAGAAUAUAUCUUUAUUCCAGGUGAGAUCUGAAGUCUUUAAUUGUUUUACAAUUUUUCCCUGUUACUACAUCAUAAUCUUAUACAAAUACAUAAUAAUCACAUACAACUAAUCUAUUGUCGAAAGGAAACAGAAAUUACGAUCGAAUACCACCAAUAGCAACGUCGAAAACGAAUGUGAGUGGUUUUCUAGUCGUGCCAUUUAUGUGUUACCAAAAUUUAACGAACGAGUGAGGCUGCGUGAAAUCCGAAACUCUGUUGUGACAGUGAAAUUGCGUAUUUCAAAUCCGAAGGGGCUUUUAUUGAGUGAAAAUUGACUGUUCAUAUACGGAAUCUUCUGCGUGGUUAUAUAUUGAUGCUUCAAUAGGUAGACAAAAUAGUAUUAAGCAAAUCGUCGUUGGGCGCGUCGCGGUCUUUGAAUCGCAAUUCUACAUAUUUUUUCCCCCCCAGAAUGAUAAAAUCAUAAUUCGAUGUUGAGGUCUUCGGUCAUUUUUUAUUAAUUUAAUAGAAGACUAAUUUAUAACCUCCAGUUAUGCUUGAAAUUAUCUGUGAAUUUACUCGUCGAAGAAUAUUCACAGACGAGUUCAAGGAAGUGGUCGGUUUCUGGGUAGUUAGUUUUAAAAACCUGAAACACAACGAGACAUUUUUAAACGUUGGAAUAUUGAGAUGCUCAAUUUUCGACUUUAGCCGUGCGAUGGUUGUUUUUUCUUGCCUGAGUGACGCAUUGCUAGUGAAUUGCAAUAGCGCACCUGCGGACAAGAGAGGAAAAAAUAUGGCAAAUUUUACGGAAAGCCUAAGCUCCUUAAUUUUUUGGGACGCAAUACAUGGAAACCACUGACCACAUGUAGUUGCAUAAAGCGUUUUGCUUUCUUAUCCGCUCGUUAAAGUCUCCGGGUUGUUUAUGGCCACACUGACCGAUGCAUUCGUGACAGUGAAAUUCAAAAUAAAGCUAAUCUGCCCAUGAUGCAUUUUUAUGCCA
RNAcentral lists this long non-coding RNA (1486 nucleotides) under Bemisia tabaci. RNAcentral describes it as "lncRNA ENSSSA1NGG004072". The record is from RNAcentral. Lineage: Eukaryota; Metazoa; Arthropoda; Insecta; Hemiptera; Aleyrodidae.